GCCUCCGUGGCGCAAUCGGCUAGCGCGUUCGGCUGUUAACCGAAAGGUUGGUGGUUCGAGACCACCCGGGGGCG
RNAcentral lists this transfer RNA (74 nucleotides) under Schistocerca americana (American grasshopper). Its description in RNAcentral is "tRNA-Asn". It matches the Rfam family "tRNA". Rfam says of the family: Transfer RNA (tRNA) molecules are approximately 80 nucleotides in length. Their secondary structure includes four short double-helical elements and three loops (D, anti-codon, and T loops). Further hydrogen bonds mediate the characteristic L-shaped molecular structure. tRNAs have two regions of fundamental functional importance: the anti-codon, which is responsible for specific mRNA codon recognition, and the 3' end, to which the tRNAs corresponding amino acid is attached (by aminoacyl-tRNA synthetases). tRNAs cope with the degeneracy of the genetic code in two manners: having more than one tRNA (with a specific anti-codon) for a particular amino acid; and 'wobble' base-pairing, i.e. permitting non-standard base-pairing at the 3rd anti-codon position. The record is from RNAcentral. RNAcentral also lists the same sequence under 2 other names. Lineage: Eukaryota; Metazoa; Arthropoda; Insecta; Orthoptera; Acrididae.